AAGUGAAAUUUCAGAGAGUACGAUUUGAAAAAUUAUCUGAACGAUCAAAAGUUAUCUGAGAAGCACAAUUGGACAAGAGAGACUUACAGGAUUGACCAUACUCUCAAUUGAGAGCGGAAGCGCAAAUAAGUUGUACCUAAAACACAUUAUUUACUAUUUUGCUGAACGCGAGGCCCUUCAAAUAGAGUGGCGUGCGAAACCAUGGCAGCUCUUACACACCUCGAUCCCCUUCGCUCCUCGCCGACAAAUUUCACAGCUGCCCUGAUGCUGAUGGCUGGCUAGACUGUCAACUGUGACACCGCCACCGCACCUUGUAGCCAGCCUUCUGACCUGCCUGCCUACCCACUGGAUUACUCUGCCAAGCCUGCCCGUACCUGUACCGUCACCUUCUCAAAUUGUCAACCGGUUACCGAACUCCUGCCCGUCCUUCUCGUUGUGAUUCUUGCGUCAGCCCUCUUGUGCUGUACUAAUAAACCAAACAGUUUUUUCCGUGAAUGGAACUUCA
Long non-coding RNA from Esox lucius (northern pike), 505 nucleotides. RefSeq lists it as uncharacterized. The record is from RefSeq and is a predicted model, not a curated record. The transcript is spliced from 3 exons. Lineage: Eukaryota; Metazoa; Chordata; Actinopteri; Esociformes; Esocidae.